This 331-nucleotide ribosomal RNA is filed under the name uncultured bacterium. RNAcentral's name for it is "bacterial SSU rRNA". It matches the Rfam family "Bacterial small subunit ribosomal RNA", at positions 568 to 898 of the family's 1533-position model. The record is from RNAcentral.
CGCGCAGGCGGCCAUUCAAGUCAGGCGUGAAAGCCCCGGGCUUAACCUGGGAGGUGCGUUUGGGACUGGGUGGCUAGAGAUCGGGAGAGGAGAGUGGAAUUCCCAGUGUAGAGGUGAAAUUCGUAGAUAUUGGGAAGAACACCGGUGGCGAAGGCGGCUCUCUGGACCGAUACUGACGCUGAGGCGCGAAAGCGUGGGGAGCAAACAGGAUUAGAUACCCUGGUAGUCCACGCUGUAAACGAUGUGUGCUAGACGUUGGGGAGCCUAGCUCUUCGGUGUCGCAGCUAACGCGGUAAGCACACCGCCUGGGGAGUACGGCCGCAAGGUUAAA